CUACGGGAGGGCAGGCAGUGGGGAAUAAUUGGACAAUGGGCGAAAGCCUUGAUCCCAGCCAUGCCGCGUGUGUGUAAGAGAGGGUCUUCGGAUUGUAAAGCACUUUAAGUUGGGAGGAAGGGCAGUUACCUAAUACGUGACUGUCUUGACGUUACCGACAGAAUAAGCACCGGGCUAACUCUGUGCCAGCAGCCGCGGGUAAUACAGAGGGUGCAAGCGUUAAUCGGAAUUACUGGGCGUAAAGCGCGCGUAGGUGGUUUGUUUAAGUUGAAUGUGAAAUCCCCGGGCUCAACCUGGGAACUGCAUCCAAAACUGGCAAGCUAGAGUAUGGUAGAGGGUAGUGGAAUUUCCUGUGUAGCGGUGAAAUGCGUAGAUAUAGGAAGGAACACCAGUGGCGAAGGCGACUACCUGGGACUGAUACUGACACU
This 428-nucleotide ribosomal RNA is filed under the name Pseudomonas sp. E11_ICE7. Its description in RNAcentral is "bacterial SSU rRNA". It matches the Rfam family "Bacterial small subunit ribosomal RNA", at positions 339 to 747 of the family's 1533-position model. The record is from RNAcentral. Lineage: Bacteria; Pseudomonadati; Pseudomonadota; Gammaproteobacteria; Pseudomonadales; Pseudomonadaceae.